RNAcentral lists this ribosomal RNA (850 nucleotides) under uncultured Bacillus sp. RNAcentral describes it as "bacterial SSU rRNA". It matches the Rfam family "Bacterial small subunit ribosomal RNA", at positions 52 to 885 of the family's 1533-position model. Lineage: Bacteria; Bacillati; Bacillota; Bacilli; Caryophanales; Bacillaceae. The record is from RNAcentral.
UAAUGCAAGUCGAGCGGAUCGGAGGGAGCUUGCUCCCGAUGAUUAGCGGCGGACGGGUGAGUAACACGUGGGCAACCUGCCUAUAAGACUGGGAUAACUUCGGGAAACCGGAGCUAAUACCGGAUAAUGCUUUUGAACACAUGUUUGAAAGCUGAAAGAUGGUUUCGGCUAUCACUUAUAGAUGGGCCCGCGGCGCAUUAGCUAGUUGGUGAGGUAACGGCUCACCAAGGCGACGAUGCGUAGCCGACCUGAGAGGGUGAUCGGCCACACUGGGACUGAGACACGGCCCAGACUCCUACGGGAGGCAGCAGUAGGGAAUCUUCCGCAAUGGACGAAAGUCUGACGGAGCAACGCCGCGUGAGUGAUGAAGGUUUUCGGAUCGUAAAACUCUGUUGUUAGGGAAGAACAAGUAUCGGAGUAACUGCCGGUACCUUGACGGUACCUAACCAGAAAGCCACGGCUAACUACGUGCCAGCAGCCGCGGUAAUACGUAGGUGGCAAGCGUUGUCCGGAAUUAUUGGGCGUAAAGCGCGCGCAGGCGGUUCCUUAAGUCUGAUGUGAAAGCCCACGGCUCAACCGUGGAGGGUCAUUGGAAACUGGGGAACUUGAGUGCAGAAGAGAAGAGCGGAAUUCCACGUGUAGCGGUGAAAUGCGUAGAGAUGUGGAGGAACACCAGUGGCGAAGGCGGCUCUUUGGUCUGUAACUGACGCUGAGGCGCGAAAGCGUGGGGAGCAAACAGGAUUAGAUACCCUGGUAGUCCACGCCGUAAACGAUGAGUGCUAAGUGUUAGAGGGUUUCCGCCCUUUAGUGCUGCAGCAAACGCAUUAAGCACUCCGCCUGGGGAGUACGG